AUUGAACGCUGGCGGAAUGCUUUACACAUGCAAGUCGAGCGGCAGCGCGGGGGCAACCCUGGCGGCGAGCGGCGAACGGGUGAGUAAUACAUCGGAACGUGUCCUUAAGCGGGGGAUAGCUCGGCGAAAGCCGGAUUAAUACCGCAUAAGCUCUGAGGAGGAAAGCGGGGGCUCCGUAAGGACCUCGCGCUGUUGGAGCGGCCGAUGUCGGAUUAGCUAGUUGGUGGGGUAAAGGCCCACCAAGGCGACGAUCCGUAGCUGGUCUGAGAGGAUGAUCAGCCACACUGGAACUGAGACACGGUCCAGACUCCUACGGGAGGCAGCAGUGGGGAAUUUUGGACAAUGGGGGCAACCCUGAUCCAGCCAUUCCGCGUGAGUGAAGAAGGCC
RNAcentral lists this ribosomal RNA (388 nucleotides) under uncultured bacterium. RNAcentral's name for it is "bacterial SSU rRNA". It matches the Rfam family "Bacterial small subunit ribosomal RNA", at positions 29 to 416 of the family's 1533-position model. The record is from RNAcentral.